GACGAACGCUGGCGGCGUGCUUAACACAUGCAAGUCGAACGGAAAGGCCCUGCUUUCGUGGGGUGAUCGAGUGGCGAACGGGUGAGUAACAGGUGAGUAACCUGCCCUUGACUUUGGGAUAACUUCAGGAAACUGGGGCUAAUACCGUAUAGGAGCUCCUGCUGCAUGGUGGGGGUUGGAAAGUCUCGGCUGUCGGGGAUGGACUCGCGGCUUAUCAGCUUGUUGGUGGGGUAGUGGCUUACCAAGGCUUUGACGGGUAGCCGGCAUGGGAGGGUGACCGGCGACAUUGGGACUGAGGUACGGACCAGACUCCUACGGGAGGCAGCAGUGGGGAAUAUUGCCCAGUGGGACGGAGCCUGAUGCAGCAACGCCGGGGGCGGGAUGACGGCCUUCGGGUUGUAAACCGCUUUCGGCUGUGACGAAGCGGGAGUGACGGUAAUGGGUAAAGAAGCACCGGCUAACUACGUG
Molecule: ribosomal RNA, 468 nt
Filed under: uncultured bacterium
Lineage: Bacteria
Description: partial 16S ribosomal RNA
Rfam family: Bacterial small subunit ribosomal RNA
Source: RNAcentral